RNAcentral lists this ribosomal RNA (1556 nucleotides) under Escherichia coli. Its description in RNAcentral is "bacterial SSU rRNA". It matches the Rfam family "Bacterial small subunit ribosomal RNA". The record is from RNAcentral. Lineage: Bacteria; Pseudomonadati; Pseudomonadota; Gammaproteobacteria; Enterobacterales; Enterobacteriaceae.
UUAAAUUGAAGAGUUUGAUCAUGGCUCAGAUUGAACGCUGGCGGCAGGCCUAACACAUGCAAGUCGAACGGUAACAGGAAGAAGCUUGCUUCUUUGCUGACGAGUGGCGGACGGGGGAGUAAUGUCUGGGAAACUGCCUGAUGGAGGGGGAUAACUACUGGAAACGGUAGCUAAUACCGCAUAACGUCGCAAGACCAAAGAGGGGGACCUUCGGGCCUCUUGCCAUCGGAUGUGCCCAGAUGGGAUUAGCUAGUAGGUGGGGUAAAGGCUCACCUAGGCGACGAUCCCUAGCUGGUCUGAGAGGAUGACCAGCCACACUGGAACUGAGACACGGUCCAGACUCCUACGGGAGGCAGCAGUGGGGAAUAUUGCACAAUGGGCGCAAGCCUGAUGCAGCCAUGCCGCGUGUAUGAAGAAGGCCUUCGGGUUGUAAAGUACUUUCAGCGGGGAGGAAGGGAGUAAAGUUAAUACCUUUGCUCAUUGACGUUACCCGCAGAAGAAGCACCGGCUAACUCCGUGCCAGCAGCCGCGGUAAUACGGAGGGUGCAAGCGUUAAUCGGAAUUACUGGGCGUAAAGCGCACGCAGGCGGUUUGUUAAGUCAGAUGUGAAAUCCCCGGGCUCAACCUGGGAACUGCAUCUGAUACUGGCAAGCUUGAGUCUCGUAGAGGGGGGUAGAAUUCCAGGUGUAGCGGUGAAAUGCGUAGAGAUCUGGAGGAAUACCGGUGGCGAAGGCGGCCCCCUGGACGAAGACUGACGCUCAGGUGCGAAAGCGUGGGGAGCAAACAGGAUUAGAUACCCUGGUAGUCCACGCCGUAAACGAUGUCGACUUGGAGGUUGUGCCCUUGAGGCGUGGCUUCCGGAGCUAACGCGUUAAGUCGACCGCCUGGGGAGUACGGCCGCAAGGUUAAAACUCAAAUGAAUUGACGGGGGCCCGCACAAGCGGUGGAGCAUGUGGUUUAAUUCGAUGCAACGCGAAGAACCUUACCUGGUCUUGACAUCCACAGAACUUUCCAGAGAUGGAUUGGUGCCUUCGGGAACUGUGAGACAGGUGCUGCAUGGCUGUCGUCAGCUCGUGUUGUGAAAUGUUGGGUUAAGUCCCGCAACGAGCGCAACCCUUAUCCUUUGUUGCCAGCGGUCCGGCCGGGAACUCAAAGGAGACUGCCAGUGAUAAACUGGAGGAAGGUGGGGAUGACGUCAAGUCAUCAUGGCCCUUACGACCAGGGCUACACACGUGCUACAAUGGUGCAUACAAAGAGAAGCGACCUCGCGAGAGCAAGCGGACCUCAUAAAGUGCGUCGUAGUCCGGAUUGGAGUCUGCAACUCGACUCCAUGAAGUCGGAAUCGCUAGUAAUCGUGGAUCAGAAUGCCACGGUGAAUACGUUCCCGGGCCUUGUACACACCGCCCGUCACACCAUGGGAGUGGGUUGCAAAAGAAGUAGGUAGCUUAACCUUCGGGAGGGCGCUUACCACUUUGUGAUUCAUGACUGGGGUGAAGUCGUAACAAGGUAACCGUAGGGGAACCUGCGGUUGGAUCACCUCCUUACCUUAAAGAAGC